This is a non-coding RNA of Paramuricea clavata, 1998 nucleotides long. The record is from the annotation of a GenBank genome assembly. NCBI's taxonomy places the organism in Eukaryota, Metazoa, Cnidaria, Anthozoa, Malacalcyonacea, Plexauridae.
GCGGUAGCCAAUGAUAGCAAAGCUUUUGCAAGCUAAACCAAUCAGAGCUCGUAAAAAUCUGAUAAUAACAAACAAUGGUGUGUGGUUCACGGCUUUACGCAUUCCGUGGCAAAUUUGAAUAUUUCUGCUCGAGGCCACAGUGGCUUCGAAGUUGAGAGAGCACACAAAUGACACAGUUAAAGUUACUGCAACCAAACUUCGCUUUUAUGAAACUUAUUCGAAAUAAAAUCGGUACACCAUGACGAGGGAAAGGUCAGUAUUAAAUUUAGCUGUUUUUAAAACGUUUUUGAGUUGUUCUUGUUAAGUUUUAGUUGCUUUUCGAACCUCGUGUGUAUAGUAUUCAUUGUAUUAAUAUGUAUUGAAUUCAAGCGCUUCGUUUCGGAGCUUAGUCGCUUUGUUUCUUUGCCGUUUCUCUCUCAUUUUCUAGCAGUAAUGUUCAGAAAUACCCCAGAUUCGAUUUACUUAAACUCAUAUUUAGUUUAUCUGCAAUUUCAGGGCGAAAAUUUGACGAGAAAGUGAACUAAUUUAUGUCGCCGAUAUGGUCGAAAAGGCGAAGUACUUGGUACGCAUAAUGUCCACUAAAGGCGUUUCCUUCUUAUUUUUUUUAAUUAAGCUUCCUUUAUACAUCUAGAACGUCUUCUGGUAAAGCCUUGUAGCUUAAUAUGAACAUUCUUUGUCAAAUUAGUUGAAAUUUUGUCCGCACAGAGCGAAAUACCGACUCAUUUUAGGCAUGUUCAAUUCGACAUGCAUUUCAAACAUAUUAGCUUCUACAAACUUGUCGUUUAUGUACAAAUUGUACUCAGAGAGGGAAAGCUAAGCUUUUUGAGUUUUUUGACGUUGUCUUAGUUGAAUUUAUUCGAAAUCUUUUGAAGAAGCUCAGAGAUAAAAAUGUCCUCGUGGUUCAUGUCCUAAUUUUAUGCAUACAUGCACGCAUUCUUUAAAAUUAAAAUAAAUUGGACAACCACACCCUGUGUAAACGACAUUAAAUAUCUCUUCACUGUUAAAACUAAAAUUAAUUAUCCAACUUUUUAGAUUGCCUCAAGUUCGAUUAUCUUGAUGCCAAACAGUACAGAAAGACCUCUGCGCAGAUUUGAAGAGACGUUUGCCCAGCAGUCGAAGCAAAACGAGAAGGCAAAGGCCGAUUGAAAACAACCAUCAGCUAACCCACAGCAUUCAUCGUCGCAUUUCGUUUGUACCAUGUUUGGAAGAGACAGUAAAACUUCAUACCGGAAUGCCGGUGACGGAAUGCUCGAAAGUAGAUACACCGUAUCUCAGUCAGCCUAUUGUGAACGGGUGCCAUCCAGGGACCCUAGCCAAUGCUCUGCACCAUCGUUUCCAAGACUGGCAUGAGGGAUUGCCUACCUAUACCAGCCUAUGAAAUAGGCGUGAAAGAUGCCGUACAUUACAGAAGGUAUAUCUCUUGAUUCUCGUUGGUCCUGUUCGAAAGUACGUGGGGGCCACCCUGAGGACGCCCAAAUGCACAAAACAAAUUUCAAUUAAUGUGGCAUUUUUCCUUAAUUUCGCAAUUUAUUCAAAUUUUUCACAUUUCUUGGUAUUUGUGAUAAGCCCUUAACGAAAUCGAAAUGUUUGAAAUUCGGAAGGUUCUAUCUGGGAGUUUGUUUAUUUGAAAGAUAUUUGAAAUGAAAUUUUGAAAUUUACAUCACUUUGCUAUUUGGUUUGAGCGCUAGGUAAAAUCAUGCCAGAUGAGUGGCCGGCCAUUCGUCGAGGUUCGGUGGUACUUCGGCUCGGACUUUCCCGACCUACAGUCGAGUUGCUCUGAUCGAUUGUCGUGAUCAACUAGCACAGGUGCAAGGUCUGGCCAACCUUACAUCAGUGCUUUUUGUUCGUGGCAUGAGAUUGGGACAGCUCGCUUGUAGGCCUGGAAAGAUCAAGCCGAAGUACCAUCAAACUUUAAUUUGUGACCGGCUGUUUGUCUGUAUGGCUUUACCCAGCGUUUUCCCGUUAUCAUUUUGAUGCAGACUUUGGAAUUUUGGCUUG